RNAcentral lists this ribosomal RNA (850 nucleotides) under uncultured bacterium. RNAcentral's name for it is "bacterial SSU rRNA". It matches the Rfam family "Bacterial small subunit ribosomal RNA", at positions 50 to 900 of the family's 1533-position model. The record is from RNAcentral.
CUAUCAUGCAGUCGAGGGGCAGCACAGGUAGCAAUACUGGGUGGCGACCGGCAAACGGGUGCGGAACACGUACGUAACCUUCCUUUAAGUGGGAGAUAGCCCGAAGAAAUUCGGAUUAAUACCCCAUAAGAUUGUGGAGUGGCAUCACUCAGCAAUUAAAGAAAUUCGCUUAAAGAUGGGCGUGCGGCUGAUUAGGUAGUUGGUGAGGUAACGGCUCACCAAGCCAACGAUCAGUAACUGGCGUGAGAGCGCGACCAGUCACACGGGCACUGAGACACGGGCCCGACUCCUACGGGAGGCAGCAGUAAGGAAUAUUGGUCAAUGGACGCAAGUCUGAACCAGCCAUGCCGCGUGAAGGAUGAAGGUCCUCUGGAUUGUAAACUUCUUUUAUAUGGGAAGAAACCACUUUUUUCUAAAGGUGUUGACGGUACCAUAGGAAUAAGCACCGGCUAACUCCGUGCCAGCAGCCGCGGUAAUACGGAGGGUGCAAGCGUUAUCCGGAUUCACUGGGUUUAAAGGGUGCGUAGGCGGAUUAGUAAGUCCGUGGUGAAAUCUCCGAGCUUAACUCGGAAACUGCCGUGGAUACUAUUAAUCUUGAAUACUGUGGAGGUUAGCGGAAUAUGUCAUGUAGCGGUGAAAUGCAUAGAUAUGACAUAGAACACCAAUUGCGAAGGCAGCUGGCUACACAGAGAUUGACGCUGAGGCACGAAAGCGUGGGGAUCAAACAGGAUUAGAUACCCUGGUAGUCCACGCCCUAAACGAUGAUUACUCGACAUUUGCGAUAUACAGUAAGUGUCUGAGCGAAAGCAUUAAGUAAUCCACCUGGGAAGUACGACCGCAAGGUUGAAAC